AUUGAACGCUGGCGGCAUGCCUUACACAUGCAAGUCGAACGGCAGCGCGGGAGCAAUCCUGGCGGCGAGUGGCGAACGGGUGAGUAAUAUAUCGGAACGUGCCCAUUAGUGGGGGAUAGCCCGGCGAAAGCCGGAUUAAUACCGCAUACGACCUGAGGGUGAAAGCGGGGGAUCGCAAGACCUCGCGCUAUUGGAGCGGCCGAUAUCAGAUUAGCUAGUUGGUGGGGUAAAGGCCUACCAAGGCAACGAUCUGUAGUUGGUCUGAGAGGACGACCCGCCCCACUGGGACAGAGACCGGGCCCAGAAUCCUACGGGAGGAAGCAGGGGGGAAAUUUGGACAAGGAGCGCAAGCCUGGUCGAGCAAUGCCGCGUGCAGGAAGAGGGCCUUCGGGUUGUAAACUGCUUUUGUCAGGGAAGAAAUCCUUAGGGCUGAUACCUCGGAGGGAUGACGGUACCUGAAGGAUAAGCACCGGCUAACUACGUGCCAGCAGCCGCCGUAA
This 500-nucleotide ribosomal RNA is filed under the name uncultured bacterium. RNAcentral describes it as "partial 16S ribosomal RNA". It matches the Rfam family "Bacterial small subunit ribosomal RNA", at positions 29 to 523 of the family's 1533-position model. The record is from RNAcentral.